Picea glauca (white spruce) is the source of this 422-nucleotide non-coding RNA. Lineage: Eukaryota; Viridiplantae; Streptophyta; Pinopsida; Pinales; Pinaceae. The record is from Rfam.
AUGAAAAUUAUGGUGCUAACAAUAAUCACCUAAAUUAGACCUUGAAUCUACACCCCCUAACCUUCUAAAUCAUCGACCCAUAACCCAUAACCCUUCUAAAUAUGCAAUGUGAUUUAUUCCCAUUGCUUUUCAUGUCAAAGUGAAGAAAUUCAACCAAGCGUGGGUAAACAGCAUGACUAACUAUGACUAUCUUAAGGUAGCCAGAUGCCUCAUCAUCUAAUUAGUGAUGCGCAUGAAUGGAUCAUUAACGAGAUUCCCCAUUGUCCCUAGCUACUAUAUUAUAGAUAAACCACGUCCAAGGGAAUGGGCUUGGCAGAAUUAGUGGGGAAAGAAGACCCUCAUGUUGAGCUUGACUCUAGUCCUAACCCAUUCAUAGUUUGGGAAAAUUAGGGCAUAGUUUGGGAAAAUUAGACCAUAACAUU